GCAGUCGAGCGAAUGGAUUGAGAGCUUGCUCUCAWGAAGUUAGCGGCGGACGGGGUGAGUAACACGUGGGUAACCUGCCCAUAAGACUGGGAUAACUCCGGGAAACCGGGGCUAAUACCGGAUAACAUUUUGAACUGCAUGGUUCGAAAUUGAAAGGCGGCUUCGGCUGUCACUUAUGGAUGGACCCGCGUCRCAUUAGCUAGUUGGUGAGGUAACGGCUCACCAAGGCAACGAUGCGUAGMCRACCUGAGAGGGUGAUCGGCCACACUGGGACUGAGACACGGCCCASACUCCUACGGGAGGCAGCARUAGGGAAUCUUCCGCAAUGGACGAAAGUCUGACGGAGCAACGCCGCGUGAGUGAUGAAGGCUUUCGGGUCGUAAAACUCUGUUGUUAGGGAAGAACAAGUGCUAGUUGAAUAAGCUGGCACCUUGACGGUACCUAACCAGAAAGCCACGGCUAACUACGUGCCAGCAGCCGCGGUAAUACGUAGGUGGCAAGCGUUAUCCGGAAUUAUUGGGCGUAAAGCGCGCGCAGGUGGUUUCUUAAGUCUGAUGUGAAAGCCCACGGCUCAACCGUGGAGGGUCAUUGGAAACUGGGAGACUUGAGUGCAGAAGAGGAAAGUGGAAUUCCAUGUGUAGCGGUGAAAUGCGUAGAGAUAUGGAGGAACACCAGUGGCGAAGGCGACUUUCUGGUCUGUAACUGACACUGAGGCGCGAAAGCGUGGGGAGCAAACAGGAUUAGAUACCCUGGUAGUCCACGCCGUAAACGAUGAGUGCUAAGUGUUAAAGGGUUUCCGCCCUUUAGUGCUGAAGUUAACGCAUUAAGCACUCCGCCUGGGGAGUACGGCCGCAAGGCUG
This 860-nucleotide ribosomal RNA is filed under the name Bacillus sp. ZK4788. RNAcentral describes it as "bacterial SSU rRNA". It matches the Rfam family "Bacterial small subunit ribosomal RNA", at positions 57 to 896 of the family's 1533-position model. The record is from RNAcentral. Lineage: Bacteria; Bacillati; Bacillota; Bacilli; Caryophanales; Bacillaceae.